UGAAUGGGCACGACCUUACUUGAACAGGCUCUGUUUUUUAGGCUCGUACCUUUGUGUCCUAAAGUUCGAAGGAGACAGAAUUCCGAGUCUGGUUGAUGAACCACGACUGUGUGAUCUGAGCGUGAUUACUGGUCUGGUGAUACCCAUUCUGGUUCCACUUCGACCGCAGAGGAUCGUUCUCGGCGUGUCUUGUGCGGAUAGGAAGGUCGCGCAGUUGUCAGACAGACUAACUAGCCUUUUUGCUUUCUCCGUUUGGGGGAUUAUUCCUGCCAUUUUUCAAGCUUCAGUAGAAAUUGUCCUGUGGAGCAAAACUUGGGGGAUUAUUCCAUUACAGCCUCUGAGAUUGUAGAAGGGCAAUCAGCUAAGCGCCCUGCAACCUAAACUCUUCAUUCUCCCUUUGUAGUUUGUUUUAUUUUAUCUUAUUGAUUUGUACUAAAAAAAAACUUUUAUUUUCAAAUAAAAAUAUUCUAUGUAUGCAUCUACGUGUUCUGUUCAUGUCAUAAUUUCUUUUCUUUUCUUUUUUUUAAAUUCAGGACACAAUAUUUCCUUAAAGAAAUUGGUCCGUGAGGCUUUGCAGCUUGCAAGAUCUGUUUGUUGCUACUGAACACUCUUGUUUUUGUUUCUUGUGAUAUUUGUUAGUGGCUUCAAACAACUCUUGAAACAAAUUGGUUUAAUCUGCAUUGCAUUAAACAGAGUUAGUUGUCAGCGCUACCAUGUGCUUAUUUCCCUUUUUAAUAAUAUGGGUACGUCUUUAUGUGCAUCCAUGAAACAAAACACAAUGCAUGUGGAGAGAAACGGCUCAAUUUGUCUUAUUUUUAGUUCAUGUUGUUGUUAUUUUAAGAAAGUGCUUGUCGUCAAGCAUGGUCCAUUGAUCUUGGACUUGGAACACAAGAGUUUUGAUAGAAGGAAAGAAACCAUUUCCCAACUGCUGUAACCCUAAGCUCCAUUUAUUAAUUAUAUUGUGUUGUGUCUGAUUCUUUGAUAAUAACGACCCAUCUCCACUUUCUGCAUAUAGCAGGGACUGAAGGGGUAAGAGAAUGUCAUGAAGCAAGUGCCUUUUCCCUUCAACUUUUUCAUCCUCAGUUCCAAGAUAACAGCAGCCAAUUUGUUGCCUAGAUUUGAACCAAGAAAAUGUACAAGACAUAAGUUUGUUUGUAAAAUGAUUCUGCUUUUGUUAGAGGAUAACAGCUAUGUUGCCUGUAAA
Gossypium arboreum is the source of this 1204-nucleotide long non-coding RNA. RefSeq lists it as uncharacterized. The transcript has 2 exons. Lineage: Eukaryota; Viridiplantae; Streptophyta; Magnoliopsida; Malvales; Malvaceae. The record is from RefSeq and is a predicted model, not a curated record.